This 70-nucleotide transfer RNA is filed under the name Stegodyphus mimosarum. It matches the Rfam family "tRNA". From Rfam's summary of the family: Transfer RNA (tRNA) molecules are approximately 80 nucleotides in length. The record is from Rfam by way of RNAcentral. Lineage: Eukaryota; Metazoa; Arthropoda; Arachnida; Araneae; Eresidae.
ACUUUUGUCGUGCAACUGGUAGUACGUCCGACUUGCAAUCGGAAGAUCCGGAGUUCGAAUCCCGAGGGUA